This 557-nucleotide ribosomal RNA is filed under the name uncultured bacterium. RNAcentral's name for it is "partial 16S ribosomal RNA". It matches the Rfam family "Bacterial small subunit ribosomal RNA", at positions 355 to 905 of the family's 1533-position model. The record is from RNAcentral.
UGGGGAAUUUUGGACAAUGGGCGAAAGCCUGAUCCAGCAAUGCCGCGUGUGUGAAGAAGGCCUUCGGGUUGUAAAGCACUUUUGUCCGGAAAGAAAUCCUUGGCUCUAAUACAGUCGGGGGAUGACGGUACCGGAAGAAUAAGCACCGGCUAACUACGUGCCAGCAGCCGCGGUAAUACGUAGGGUGCAAGCGUUAAUCGGAAUUACUGGGCGUAAAGCGUGCGCAGGCGGUUUGCUAAGACCGAUGUGAAAUCCCCGGGCUCAACCUGGGAACUGCAUUGGUGACUGGCAGGCUAGAGUAUGGCAGAGGGGGGUAGAAUUCCACGUGUAGCAGUGAAAUGCGUAGAGAUGUGGAGGAAUACCGAUGGCGAAGGCAGCCCCCUGGGCCAAUACUGACGCUCAUGCACGAAAGCGUGGGGAGCAAACAGGAUUAGAUACCCUGGUAGUCCACGCCCUAAACGAUGUCAACUAGUUGUUGGGGAUUCAUUUCCUUAGUAACGUAGCUAACGCGUGAAGUUGACCGCCUGGGGAGUACGGCCGCAAGAUUAAAACUUAAA